RNAcentral lists this transfer RNA (76 nucleotides) under Kwoniella mangroviensis CBS 8507. Its description in RNAcentral is "tRNA-Tyr (GTA) (tRNA-Tyr-GTA-1-1, tRNA-Tyr-GTA-1-2)". It matches the Rfam family "tRNA". From Rfam's summary of the family: Transfer RNA (tRNA) molecules are approximately 80 nucleotides in length. Their secondary structure includes four short double-helical elements and three loops (D, anti-codon, and T loops). Further hydrogen bonds mediate the characteristic L-shaped molecular structure. tRNAs have two regions of fundamental functional importance: the anti-codon, which is responsible for specific mRNA codon recognition, and the 3' end, to which the tRNAs corresponding amino acid is attached (by aminoacyl-tRNA synthetases). tRNAs cope with the degeneracy of the genetic code in two manners: having more than one tRNA (with a specific anti-codon) for a particular amino acid; and 'wobble' base-pairing, i.e. permitting non-standard base-pairing at the 3rd anti-codon position. RNAcentral also lists the same sequence under 2 other names. Lineage: Eukaryota; Fungi; Basidiomycota; Tremellomycetes; Tremellales; Cryptococcaceae. The record is from RNAcentral.
CUCUCCGUAGUUUAGCGUGGUUUAGAGCGUCAGACUGUAAAUCUGAAAGUCGGGCGUUCGACUCGCCCCGGGGAGA